RNAcentral lists this transfer RNA (85 nucleotides) under Felis catus (domestic cat). It matches the Rfam family "tRNA". Rfam says of the family: Transfer RNA (tRNA) molecules are approximately 80 nucleotides in length. Their secondary structure includes four short double-helical elements and three loops (D, anti-codon, and T loops). The record is from Rfam by way of RNAcentral. Lineage: Eukaryota; Metazoa; Chordata; Mammalia; Carnivora; Felidae.
ACCUGAGUGGCUCAGUCGGUUGAGCAUCUGACUUCGGCUCAGGUCAUGAUCUCACAGUUUGUGGGUUCGAGCCCCACGUCGGGCU